ACUCAAAUGAAUUGACGGGGACCCGCACAACCGGUGGAGCGUGUGGUUCAAUUCGAGACAAAACGAAAAACCUCACCAGGGUUUGACAUGUAACCGUUUAUUCUUUCAGAAAUGAGAGGAAAUCCGUAAGGAUGGUUACACAGGUGCUGCAUGGCUGUCAUCAGUUCGUGCCGUGAGGUGUUCCCUUAAGUGGGGAAACGAACGCAACCCGCGUCCAAUGUUGAAUUAUUCAUUGGAGACGGUCCCAACUUUUGUUGGGAAGGAAGGAGCGGAAGAUGUCAAGUCAGCACGGCCCUUAUACCCUGGGCUACACACACACUACAAUGGCGAAAAACAAUGAGCAGCAAGCCGGCAACGGCAAGCGAAUCUCUCAAAUUUCGCCUCAGUUCAGAUUGGGGUCUGCAACUCGACCCCAUGAAGUCGGAAUCGGUAGUAAUCGCGGAUCAGAAUGCCGCGGUGAAUACGUUCUCGGGUCUUGCACACACCGCCCGU
RNAcentral lists this ribosomal RNA (492 nucleotides) under uncultured bacterium. RNAcentral's name for it is "partial 16S ribosomal RNA". It matches the Rfam family "Bacterial small subunit ribosomal RNA", at positions 899 to 1397 of the family's 1533-position model. The record is from RNAcentral.